Molecule: ribosomal RNA, 502 nt
Filed under: uncultured bacterium
Lineage: Bacteria
Description: bacterial SSU rRNA
Rfam family: Bacterial small subunit ribosomal RNA
Source: RNAcentral
AUUGAACGCUGGCGGAAUGCUUUACACAUGCAAGUCGAACGGCAGCACGGGGCGACCUGGUGGCGAGUGGCGAACGGGUGAGUAAUACAUCGGAACGUGCCCAAUCGUGGGGGAUAACGUAGCGAAAGUUACGCUAAUACCGCAUACGAUCUACGGAUGAAAGCGGGGGAUCGCAAGACCUCGCGCGAGUGGAGCGGCCGAUGUCAGAUUAGGUAGUUGGUGGGGUAAAGGCUCACCAAGCCAACGAUCUGUAGCUGGUCUGAGAGGACGACCAGCCACACUGGAACUGAGACACGGUCCAGACUCCUACGGGAGGCAGCAGUGGGGAAUUUUGGACAAUGGGCGCAAGCCUGAUCCAGCCAUUCCGCGUGCAGGAUGAAGGCCUUCGGUUGUAAACUGCUUUGUACGGUAACGAAACGGACGGGCGUCUAAUACAGUUGCUAAUGACGGUACCGUAAGAAUAAGCACCGCUAACUACGUGCCAGCAGCCGCGGUAAAGUAC